CUCUGCUAGAGGCCAGCAUGAGCAGAGAGAACAGGAAGAGCUCCCAGGGAUGGGAUGCGAGUGUUCUCCUCCGACAAGUCAUCUUCACUGAUCCCAGGGCAGUGUGGCUACAGCUGUCCAGCAAGGUCACUCCAGCAAGGUUCUGGUUCUUUACUAAAAUGAUGAUCAGUCAGAACAGUGCCCAGCUGUUUUUCACAGGACUCAAGGAAGAGAAGGUGGGACCCAUCCUGUCCCUAAAGGGCAGAGUCCAGCAUAACAUUGACAGCUGGGGGGCUGUCCCAAAGCUCCUUGACCUCACUGGAUCUCUCAAACGGAAGAACUACAGCAAUGAGGGGAACUUCAGUAUCCUCAUUGAUGAUGCCAUGUUUGGGUUCCGUCUGAGGGACAAACACAUGUUGGGGAACAGCAGCGUGCAUAGCGUGACCUGUGUGAUGAUUCAGAACGGCAGUCAGGCCAUCCCUGAGGAGCUUAAGCUGAGGGGACAGCUGCAGACCCAGCCUGAUGGCUACCACGCCCAUGCCACCCUUCAUGCCGAUGAGACCACUUUGUCCUGGGCACAACCUGCAUCAUAGCUCCAGGGCAGAGGCAGCUCUCUGCCAAUCUGGCCCACAACAGUAACAUUUUAAGACAAUCAGGUAGGAAGGCAGAAAGAACCCUGACCCUGCACUGGGGAUGGAUUGGGGUU
RNAcentral lists this long non-coding RNA (685 nucleotides) under Phascolarctos cinereus (koala). RNAcentral describes it as "lncRNA (ENSPCIG00000032693.1)". The record is from RNAcentral. Lineage: Eukaryota; Metazoa; Chordata; Mammalia; Diprotodontia; Phascolarctidae.